CCUGUUCCCUAAUCUUUGUAAUUCCCUUCUCCAUUAUCGGAAAGGUUUCUCCCAUCUACACCACCAUUCCUCCCUUCGAUUCGUCGCACUCUUCACCACCACUACGGUUACCGACGUGCUCGUCACCACCACCACCACUGAGGCGCUCGUCACCACCACCACUCCGUUAGGAAACAAAGAGAAGACUCGAGAUCUGGAGUCUGUCGACGAAUCUCUCAAGGUCUUUGAGAUUGCCCGCCAACGAGUCCAUCAACGAAUCUCUCAACAGUUCUCCGUCCCUCCCUUACCGAUUUAAAAAAUUAUUAAUCUUGGAUGGGUUUGGAUCACAAAGAAGCUGAAUCACCACCUGGAACUCUGUGUUUACAUGCAUUUUCAGAUUUAACCCAUGUUUCUCCGCUUGUGUUCUUAUACCUUCUCAAAGAAUGCUAUAUUCAUGGAAGCCUCAAGGCAACAAAGAAGUUCCAAGAGUUGCAGCACCGAGUCCAUCAAGUUCUCGCCAACGUAUGUGUGUAUGUUGGUGAUGCAGUGGUUCGCGCGAAGAUGCUACCAGGAUUGGAUUAGCUGGUGUGGUUAGGAGGCAGGCUGUGGCUAGGAGGACAGCAGAUGGUGGUAGAGAUAUAUAGAGAAGGAGACGGAGUAGAGGAAGACGUCGAGUCGUCGAGAAGAAAGAGGCAAAGCAGGAAGGAGGCGGCAGUAGAGAGAUUAGGUUUAGGGGUAAUUAUGUUUAGAUUUGGUUUAAGGUUAAUUAGAUUUUGGUUAAUGGUUUCUGGUUUAGUUUACUUAAUUUUUUUAAAUGCUGGUUUAGUUUUGUAAAACUAAUUUCAUUUGUAAAUUAUUUUAAUUAAUAAAUAAAAUUCAAUUUUAGUUUUAA
Raphanus sativus (radish) is the source of this 871-nucleotide long non-coding RNA. RefSeq lists it as uncharacterized. The record is from RefSeq and is a predicted model, not a curated record. The transcript is spliced from 3 exons. Lineage: Eukaryota; Viridiplantae; Streptophyta; Magnoliopsida; Brassicales; Brassicaceae.